GGAUUAGAUACCCUGGUAGUCCACGCCGUAAACGAUGGAUACUAGCUGUAUGUCUACUUCAGGUAGAUGUGUGGCUAAGCGAAAGUGAUAAGUAUCCCACCUGGGGAGUACGAUCGCAAGAUUGAAACUCAAAGGAAUUGACGGGGGCCCGCACAAGCGGUGGAGCAUGUGGUUUAAUUCGAUGAUACGCGAGGAACCUUACCAGGGCUUAAAUGUAACGGGACAGAUCUAGAGAUAGAUCCUUCUUCGGACUCAUUACAAGGUGCUGCAUGGUUGUCGUCAGCUCGUGCCG
This 292-nucleotide ribosomal RNA is filed under the name uncultured bacterium. RNAcentral describes it as "partial 16S ribosomal RNA". It matches the Rfam family "Bacterial small subunit ribosomal RNA", at positions 775 to 1067 of the family's 1533-position model. The record is from RNAcentral.